AACGAACGCUGGCGGCAUGCCCAACACAUGCAAGUCGAACGAGAUCUUCGGGUCUAGUGGCGCACGGGUGCGUAACGCGGGGGAAUCUGCCCUUUGGUUCGGAAUAACAGUUGGAAACGACUGCUAAUACCGGAUGAUGACGAAAGUCCAAAGAUUUAUCGCCAGAGGAUGAGCCCGCGUAGGAUUAGCUCGUUGGUGUGGUAAAGGCGCACCAAGGCGACGAUCCUAGCUGGUCUGAGAGGAUGAGCAGCCACACUGGGACUGAGACACGGCCCAGACUCCUACGGGAGGCAGCAGUGGGGAAUAUUGGACAAUGGGCGAAGGCCUGAUCCAGCAAUGCCGCGUGAGUGAUGAAGGCCUUAGGGUUGUAAAGCUCUUUUACCCGGGAUGAUAAUGACAGUACCGGGAGAAUAAGCUCCGGCUAACUCCGUGCCAGCAGCCGCCGUAA
Molecule: ribosomal RNA, 448 nt
Filed under: uncultured bacterium
Lineage: Bacteria
Description: partial 16S ribosomal RNA
Rfam family: Bacterial small subunit ribosomal RNA
Source: RNAcentral